CCCUUAGAUGUUCUGGGCUGCACGCGCGCUACACUGAUGCACUCAACGAGUUUACGACCUUGCCCGAUAGGGUUGGGUAAUCUUUUUAAAAUGCAUCGUGAUGGGGAUAGAUUAUUGCAAUUAUUAAUCUUCAACGAGGAAUUCCUAGUAAGCGCGAGUCAUCAGCUCGUGCUGAUUACGUCCCUGCCCUUUGUACACACCGCCCGUCGCUCCUACCGAUUGAGUGCUCAGGUGAAUAAUUCGGACUGCAGCAAUGUUUGGAGCCCGAACGUUGCAGCGGAAAGUUUAGUGAACCUUAUCACUUAGAGGAAGGAGAAGUCGUAACA
This 326-nucleotide ribosomal RNA is filed under the name uncultured eukaryote. Its description in RNAcentral is "partial 18S ribosomal RNA". It matches the Rfam family "Eukaryotic small subunit ribosomal RNA", at positions 1470 to 1796 of the family's 1831-position model. The record is from RNAcentral.